GGGUCGGUAACUCAGAGGUAGAGUGCGGGAUUGCAGAUCCUGAAGUCCCCGGUUCGAUCCCGGGUCGGCCCU
This is a non-coding RNA of Macroventuria anomochaeta, 72 nucleotides long. Lineage: Eukaryota; Fungi; Ascomycota; Dothideomycetes; Pleosporales; Didymellaceae. The record is from the annotation of a RefSeq genome assembly.